This 263-nucleotide signal recognition particle RNA is filed under the name Candidatus Cloacimonadota bacterium. RNAcentral describes it as "signal recognition particle sRNA large type". It matches the Rfam family "Bacterial large signal recognition particle RNA". Rfam says of the family: The signal recognition particle (SRP) is a universally conserved ribonucleoprotein involved in the co-translational targeting of proteins to membranes. Archaeal SRP consists of a 7S RNA and homologues of the eukaryotic SRP19 and SRP54 proteins. In most bacteria, the SRP consists of a 4.5S RNA and the Ffh protein (a homologue of the eukaryotic SRP54 protein). The record is from RNAcentral. Lineage: Bacteria; Pseudomonadati; Candidatus Cloacimonadota.
GUGUGCUAGGCGGGGAGUUAGCGGUGCCCUGAACCUGCAAGCCGCUAUAGCAGGGCUGAAUUCCUUACCAAGGGAUUUGAUGUCCGUGUAUGAUGUAUGCAAGUAGUGUUGAUAAUCAAGCCUAACGCAAUUGGCUACUGUGAACCUUGUCAGGACCGGGAGGUAGCAGCAAUAAGCAGACCAGCCAAUGUGCCGUUAGUUUACUUGGUUUGAGCCAACUACAUAUGUCUGCUCGGAAUAGAAUUUCGACGUAAGGUGCACAC